AGAAAAAUAUGUAAAUAAAAACAUUGGCACUUUUAAAUAGGUCAUCCUGUCCCGAAGAGGUAGUGUUUCCCCCAAUACCCACAGCCCCUCACACAGGCGUGUGCGCACACACUCACAGCUCACGGAUCCUGUUUUGGUGAACCGGACUGACUUCUUCUUGCCUGCCACUCCAGGUGAUGAUGACCAAACGGACCAAAGACAUGGGCAAGUUCAGUUCUGUCACUGUGUCUACCAUUGAUGAAGAGGAAGAGGAGAUUGAGGCUAGGGAAGUUGCUGACUCAUAUGCACAGAAUGCCAAAGUGAUUGAAAAACAGCUGGAGCGCAAAGGCAUGAGUAAGAGGCGACUGCAAGAGCUGGCUGAAUUGGAAGCCAAGAAAGCGAAAAUGAAGGGGACCUUGAUUGACAACCAGUUCAAAUAAACAGGCCUUUUUCUGAACCCUAGACUAGAGGCAAGCAUUUAGAUCAGGAAGCAAAGUAAUUUCUUGAUUACAUAGACGGACUCCUAUUUAUGCCGUAGCAGAAGGCUUUAUGUUGUUUCCCAUUGAUUCUCCUACAUUCAGUGAGGUCUUUAACUGA
RNAcentral lists this small RNA (576 nucleotides) under Pongo abelii (Sumatran orangutan). RNAcentral describes it as "processed transcript". Lineage: Eukaryota; Metazoa; Chordata; Mammalia; Primates; Hominidae. The record is from RNAcentral.